GAAAUGUAGAAGGUUAUAUGUUAAAGAAACUCUCCCAUCUGACCAUUCUGAUGGCAAUCUAGGAGUCUCACUUGCACCACUCCACAUUUUAAUGCUGGGACAGAAGCUCCUUUGCAGCAAGUAGAUCCAGUGACCUAACAGAUUUGACUCCCUGCACACCCCACAUUCAGACCUAAGUUCCCCGCAUCAGCUUGACCCCAGGUUUCCCAUAGCAGAGUCCCAGAUGUCCUGUGCCUUUCAAGUAAUUUAAUUGUGAUGCAGCAACUUAGAGAGCCUCUGGGGAAGAGCUCCCAAGGAAAAGAUGACUGGGGUUUUAUACCCUCACAGUCUGUGCACCUGUGCUUCAAACACCUCUUGAUCCAUUGGUGGUUUUGGUCUGGGAUCUUCUCAUUGUUCACUAGGUCCUGCAGAGUCUCUGUGUGAUGCCCAUCCCUGCCUGGCUGGUGUUGCAGAUCCACAUGCCCUUUGUCAGGCAAAAGGUCAGGGCUCCUUCAUGGCUCCUUGCUUGUGGUUCCAGCCAUCCAGUGAACACAUCACACACCAAGCAAUCUGAACUGGGUGUACUGCUCAACAGUCCUGCUAAUGUACUGAAAGGAAAAAGAAAAAACUCUCGAGGCGUUUAACCACUGCCUUUACAUACAGGAUUAUUGCAAGUGAAAAACAUAACAAAAUUAAGGCUACCAAGAUUACCAGAGGGCAGAAUAUCAAUUCAUAGAUUCCUGUGCACAAAUACUCAAAUUAUUACAAAUACAAAAUCACAAAGGAUUCUCAGAAGUCUUUUACUCAUCAACUGAUUGAUUGCCCACUCUUCAUUUGAUGUGAGAAUUGUGCAUCCAGUUUUCCUUACCUAAAACUUAAACAGCAAAACUUGAAACAGCAAAAUAAGAACAUAGUAGGAAAGUAUAUGGCCUUCUCAUUUUGGUGCUAACUUGGAUUUUCUAGAGAAUAACUUAAAACUUCAUCUCCAGGCUAUAUACUAUAUACCUGUAUUUCAGAUGGCAUGUGCUGAUACAAUUGAGCAUACUCUUUUCUGUUCUUACAUGCUCUUUUUGAAUCUACAAAAUACACUGUGUCAACAGUACAUUUUGAAGGCAAACAAAGGUUGACUUCCUUAAUCUAUUGGGAUGCUGAAAAAGCUAGCUGUUAAAUUAUUUACAAUAAAAUAGCCAUCUUUAAGUGGUAUUUACAAAAGUAUAGUCAAGGGACCUAGCACCACUGGGUGAUGGGUCACUGCAUGUUGGUUAAUCACCCACAAAUCCUGCACAAGUACUCAGGGUCUCCAUCUAAACUAUUCUGGUUUACAGGCAAUAUAGGAAUGUUAUAUGUAGACACAUGUUUUAAAAUUCCUUUAUCUAAGUCUUGGUCUAUCUGGUUUUGGACACUUUUCCCAGCUUUCAGAGGAAUAGGAUAUUGUCUCACAGAGGGUGGCAUGUCUGCCUUAGUUUUAAUGCACAUGGAUGGUUCCCCACCUGUAGUGGUCUUAGUCCAGAACUCUAAUAAUACAGCUUUCAAUAUUUCUAGUAUCUUUUGUUCAUUUUUGAAGCUCUCAGUAAUCACACUCAGUGCCAUUAUUAAAUCCAUUCCUUCUGGUGACACAUGCAAUUCUGUAUCUAAGGCCUGUGGAAGGUCUCUCCCUAACAAGCACACUGAGAAAUCUUUUACUAAUACAAAUCUUCCCAGCAUACUCUUAUGUCCAAUCAUUCAUAAUAUAGGUUUACUUAAUUUUUUCCCUGCCUAAUGGCUCCAUGUAUGAAUACUUUGUCUGCUAUUGACCCUCUUGGGGCAAAGUUUAAGAGAGCUCCUGUAUCUACUAGAAAUUCAACAAUGACACCCAAUCCCCACAUACUAUAUGUCCCUGUUGAUGUGGGUGUUCUCCACAAAUUGAACAUUUCUAAUUGUAUGACUUCCUCAAAUUCAGUAGAAUUGCUGACCUCUAGUCAUUGUGACAAUCUAUCCUUGCACAACUACUCUCCCACUUGGUUGAAAAGGCCAUUCUUUUUGCCUAUGUCCUAAAUUUCUACAAUAGUAACACUCCAUUUCCACAUUCCUUUUCUGCCUCUUUCUGCUUUCUGGUUUAGGUCUAAUUGUAUUUGGUCUUUCUCUCUUCCAUUUUCUCCCCUGGAGAUUUCCUGUCAUGGCAAUAGCCAUCAGAUUUUCCACUUUCUCCAGUUUCCCUUUUCUCCUCUACUUGCUUUGCUCUCUGUUUUUUCUUUCUCCCAUCACACACAAAUACUGCAACACCUGAAUUGUCUGUAGUUUUACUCCCUGCCACCCUGGCAUUUGCUCCUUAAAUUACUUUUGGCUGUCUGGUGCUGCCUGACCUACAAAGACACUAAUUGUAAGUGUACCAUUAAAGUUUUGUGAAGCCAUUGCCUCAUAUUCUAGCAAAACUUGUUGGAGGCAGCCCCAAGAAUCUCUAGGAUUUUUGUCCAUUCUCUGUCUGCAUUCCAUUAUUUUAGUCUAGUUAACCUUUCAUUCCCCAUGAUCAUAUUGCUACAACCAAGUUUUGCUAGAAACCUGGUUGAAGCAAUAUGCAGGCCUGUCCUCUGGGGUAUUAUCAUUCUAAUUUGGGUCAUUCACUGACCAGGGAUUCCUGCUUCCUUCUGCUUGCAGUGCCAGUUCUGCUUUGCUAUUAAUUACUUUUCCCCUUUCACCUGGCCAGAACCAUUCUUUCAAAAGCACCUGCAUGCGCCCCCAGCUUGGGUUAUUUCCAGCACUUAUAUUACAGCUGAGCACAUUUCUUGCUACCUUCCCUCAGCCUUGGCAUCUCACUUCCCUAUAGUGCCAAAUGACUCGGGCUCCACUGGUGUUUGGUGAACAGCUGGAGCAGCCGCACAGGAGAAAAGUUAGAUGGUGUUGAAGGAGUAUUUAAUGAGCAGGGCAGUGCCGAGGCAGAAAGAGCGCCGGCAUUCCUGCUUUGGAGAUGAAUCCCCGCGAUCCGGCAGGGCGGUGCCGAUGUAGGCAGAACGCCAGGAUUCCUGCUUUGAGGCUCAGCCCCUGCCGCCGCCCUGUCACCGUCGGUUCGGCUUCCCUCUGCCACUUCUCAUCCGUGCACAGCUGUUCCAAACAUAACAAUAAUCCAUGUGAUCUGGGAAUCCAUUUUCCAGACAUUGCCGCAGGAAAGUUAACUAGUGUAGAUCAAAAAGUGCCUUGUGAUGGCCAGUGUUCUGCCACUGAGGUACCACUACAGGCUACAGCCGGGAAUGCUCCUGGCACAGUUGCUGCCUGCUCUUCGAAUAACAGCAGAGUGCCACAAGCGCUGCUCACCUCCAAGUGAUUUAAUCGUGGUGCAGCUGGGGGCCUCUGGGGAAGGACCCUCCCAAAAAAAGAUCACUGGAGUUUUAUUCCCGCACAGUCUGUGCGCUCACUCUCCUCGCAGCUCUUGGUCCAGUGGUGAGUUUUGGUCUGGGGUCUCCUCGUCCCGCAGAGCCUUGCGGUGACCGGCCACCCCCCGGCCGGUGUUGCCCCCUGCCCAUUCGCACUCGCUGCCGGGGUCCCCAGCCACUUUCCCCAGCCAAGCCACACCAAGAUAGCUGCAAGGGGUGUUUUUCAAACUGUAUCAACCGGUAUUCUACUUUUAAAUAUACAGUAUAUUCAAUAUGUGCUAAAUGUAAUAAUAUUCAUAUAUAGAUAAAUGUGGGGACAAAUAUAUGCCAUAGACAAACUGAUAUAGAGCACAUAUAUGUUAGUCAAACCAAAUCCAACACGGAUUUGUCUCUGGAUGAGCAGAAUAUUUAAAAGGCCACCCUAGUACUUUCCAGUGCUACACUGUUUCCCUUACUAAAAGCCAAUUGUCUCUUUUCUGUUUUCCUAACAGAUCUGUGAUAUCUUUUAUUCUAACAACAUGUGAGUAACAGGAAGAAAUAAAAGAAAAUUAUACUUUCAGGUAUGGAUAUAUGAAUCAGAAAUGAUACAACAUAAUUAGAAUUAUGUUUAGAAUUCAACAUAAUUCUAAAGGGGAUCUAAAAAUAAGUGAUUCUAUACAGUAAGGGGGUUUCAUAUGUCAGGUUAUGAUUCUGUUUUAGACUCGUGUCCCUUCUUUACACUUGGCACUGUACUUCAUAGAAUCUCAGGAUUGUCUAGGUUGGGAAAGAUGUGUAUGAUGUCCAGCUCUUAGCCCAGCACUGCCAAGUCCAUCACCAAAUCAUGUCUCUAAGAAACAUAUUUCCUGUUUUUUAAAUAUCUCCAGGGAGGUAUUCUUGUAGACAUUCUGUUCAUAAAAAUGUAAAAUGAGUAACAGCAAUGACAUUAAGAGUCAAGACUAUGUCAUCUGGCAGUUCCAUUACCAGUUUUUGAUCAGUUUGAGUAAUUUUAAGAACCAUUAAAAUAUUAACUUUCAUAGGCUAUAUUUUGUCCAUAUCAACCAAAUGUUCCAGUGUUGGUGUCUGCACCGAACAGAAAAGCAUCUCACUAUGCAACAAUUUGUAGUUCUCACUUUGGGAUGCUGAUUUGAUCCCAAACGCGAAGUCCAGCUUUUUACUGUAACAAAAAUGUUUCACUUUCUGAGGAGUAAUUUCACAAUGGUGAGGAGACACAAGCACCGUUGAAAAGUUACCUUUUUCGUGAGCCUUUCUAGUGUUUUUGAGCUUCAUGAGAAAAACCAGCACACUGCGUAUUUUGCACAAAAUGAACAGGUUAAAUUUUUUUUUUUCCUUAAUGUGAUAAACUGCGUAAACCCCCUAACCGAUUCCCUUCUCACCUCCCUGUUUAAUAGGAUCUACCCCUAGUUGAACUAAACCUAUGGCUUUUUCCGAGUGCGCACUUGUCCACGGGAGUCCUUUACCGGGACACUGCGGCGGGGAGCGAGUACCCGGCAGAGGCCAGCGGACAGAAACGCCCACGGCCCCUGAACAAACCAAGCGCUGCCCUUCGCUUCCCCGAGCCCAGCCCAGGUCCCGGAGCCCAGCGGAGGCCGCUCCGCUCCGCCCCUCAGGCCGGGCUGCGGC
Molecule: long non-coding RNA, 4946 nt
Organism: Taeniopygia guttata (zebra finch)
Lineage: Eukaryota; Metazoa; Chordata; Aves; Passeriformes; Estrildidae
Source: Ensembl